RNAcentral lists this ribosomal RNA (459 nucleotides) under uncultured bacterium. RNAcentral's name for it is "partial 16S ribosomal RNA". It matches the Rfam family "Bacterial small subunit ribosomal RNA", at positions 338 to 795 of the family's 1533-position model. The record is from RNAcentral.
CCUACGGGUGGCAGCAGUGAGGAAUAUUGGUCAAUGGCCGAGAGGCUGAACCAGCCAAGUCGCGUGAGGGAAGACGGCCCUACGGUUUGUAAACCUCUUUUGUCGGGGAGCAAAGAGAACCACGUGUGGCUCAUUGAGAGUACCCGACGAAAAAGCAUCGGCUAACUCCGUGCCAGCAGCCGCGGUAAUACGGAGGAUGAGAGCGUUAUCCGGAUUUGUUGGGGUUAAGGGAUGCGCAGGCGGAGGUGCACGUCAGUGGUCAAAUUGCGGGGCUCAACCCCGUACUGCCGUUGAAACUGCAUCCCUUGAGUGCGCGAGAAGUAUGCGGAAUGCGUGGUGUAGCGGUGAAAUGCAUAGAUAUCACGCAGAACUCCGAUGGCGAAGGCAGCAUACCGGCGCGCAACUGACGCUCAUGCACGAAAGCGUGGGUAUCGAACAGGAUUAGAUACCCUUGUAGUC